Molecule: long non-coding RNA, 741 nt
Organism: Lactuca sativa (garden lettuce)
Lineage: Eukaryota; Viridiplantae; Streptophyta; Magnoliopsida; Asterales; Asteraceae
Source: RefSeq, a predicted model, not a curated record
AGUUUCAAUACCGCCAAAUAGUUCUAUUAUUUCUUAUCUUUUUGCCCUAAUUUUAUGUAGAACCCUUCGAUUCCCACCGAAGCGCAUUAUCAUCAACGAACACCACCAGUGAUGUAUGUGGCAUUCAAGGACAUAAUGUGAUUAUUAAGCGAAGCCAUGGAUUCAAAUAUCAGUCACUUUCCUUCCGACUUUCAAUUCUAGGGUUUCGUCUAGGCGGUGGCUAUAUAACAACCGAUCUGAAACAAAAAGAAAUUGAAUGGAUGUUGAGCAAGACAGGGAAAGCAUAGUACAGGAGUAGUGUGGAAUGUAGAUAAAAACUUUAAUCGUCAACAUAUAAGACAUCAAGUUAUACAGCUUUUUGGAAUGAAAUGAAGCAUUUCUUCUUGUUAGCUAGUUUUCAUUCCAUAGCGGGAUGUUUUUUUGCACGCUUUUUUGGAUGAAGAAGGUUGGGUUCCUGUUAAUAUAAUAGCAACCUUCAAGAAAUUGCAGGGUGAGAGGAUGAGGAAAUGAAAUGAGGGCAUGAAAUGUGUUCUUCCAAGUUGAUUCGUUGGCAUCAUAGCUUUGGGGUACUGGAUUGAAAUGGGUUCUACCAAGCUCCAUUAGUCAAGAUUUAUGUUUUAGGUGUUACUAGGACAAAGUUAGACUUGUUAAGCUUUUUGGAACGUAUUUUCUGUUAAUUACUAAGAAUAUUGUUGUAAAACAAUUUAAGUUUUAAUUAAAGUUAUGCUUUUGCAUUUUCCA